AUGGAGAUCCGCGCCCGCGCGCCCGGCAAGAUCAUCCUCGCCGGCGAGCACGCCGUCGUCCACGGCUCUGCCGCCGUCGCCGCCGCCAUCGACCUCUACACGCAGUCCUCCCUCCACCUGCCCCCCUCAGGUGAGGGCGGCGCCGGCGAAGUGGAGGUUGACCUGACGGACUCGGGCCUCGCCUUCUCCUGGCCAUGCUCGCGCCUCCUCGAGGCGCUGGGGGAGACCUCCCGCAAGGCGGAGCUGCAGGCCCCGAGGCCCUGCUCCCCGGAGGAGCUGGCCGCCAUUGCCAGGCUCGUGGAGCUGCACGAGAUACCCGAGGCCAAGAUCUGGCUCUCCGCCGGCCUCUCCGCGUUCCUCUACCUCUACACCUCCAUCCUGGGGUGUAGGCCUGGGAAGGUCGUGGUGAGCUCUGGCCUGCCGAUGGGCGCCGGGCUUGGCUCGUCGGCUGCGUUCUCCGUGUCGUUGUCGGGCGCGCUGCUGACAGCGGCAGGUGUGGUUUCUGCUGAGGGCGCCGUUGGCGGAACGGAGUGGCAGUUGUUGGGGAAGGAUCAUCUUGAGCUGGUUAACACGUGGGCGUUCCAGGGGGAAAAGAUUAUUCAUGGCAAGCCUUCUGGCAUUGAUAACGCUGUCAGCACUUUUGGAAGCAUGAUCAAAUUCAAGAAGGGAGAAUUGACGAACCUCAAAUCUGGCAAUCCAGUCAAAAUGCUCAUUACUGAUACAAGGGUUGGUAGGAACACCAAGGCUCUGGUUGCUGGUGUGUCUGAAAGAGCAUCUAGGCAUCCCGAUGCUAUGGCUUCCGUCUUCCAUGCAGUCAACACUAUUAGUGAAGAGCUUUCCAGCAUUGUUGAGUUAGCUGCUACUGAUGAGAUAGCCAUGACCUCAAAGGAAGAAAAGCUAGCAGAACUCAUGGAGAUGAACCAAGGUUUGCUCCAGUGCAUGGGAGUCAGUCAUGCUUCUAUAGAAACCGUGCUGCGCUCGACAUUGAAGUAUAACUUGGUCUCGAAGCUCACCGGAGCUGGUGGUGGAGGCUGUGUUUUGACGUUGAUACCAACUCUAUUGUCCAAGUUAGUUUUGGAGAAGGUCACCACGGAGCUAGAAUCGCAUGGUUUCCGCUGCUUCAAAGUCGAGGUCGGUGGACAAGGUCUUCAGAUUCACCAAGGAUAA
Molecule: ribosomal RNA, 1167 nt
Filed under: Triticum aestivum (bread wheat)
Lineage: Eukaryota; Viridiplantae; Streptophyta; Magnoliopsida; Poales; Poaceae
Description: partial small subunit ribosomal RNA
Source: RNAcentral